UGUGUGUGUGUGUGUGUGUGUGUGUGUGUGUGUGUGUGUGUGUGUGAGAGAGUGUGUGAGUGUGUGUUACUGUGUGUGUGUGUGUGUGUGUGUGUGUGUAAAGGCUUUGAGAACCAAUAGGUGGAAAAGAUCUAUAUCCACCUUAUUCUAACUCCCAUGAUCCUUUGCACCAGUUAUGGACUCUAUUAAAAUCUCUAAUAAAAUACGUGGAAACAUCAUCUUUUACACCUCAAACGGGACAUUGUCACCGCACUGUCUUCUACUCUGGAGGACGGAGGACAAUCUGAAGAGACAGAGGACGAUGUGAAGGGACGGAGGACGAUGUGAAGAGACAGAGGACGAUGUGAAGAGACGGAGGACGAUCUGAAGGGACAGAGGACGAUGUGAAGGGACGGAGGACGAUCUGAAGAGACAGAGGACGAUGUGAAGGGACAGAGGACGAUGUGAAGAGACGGAGGACGAUGUGAAGAGACAGAGGACGAUGUGAAGGGACAGAGGACGAUGUGAAGAGACAGAGGACGAUGUGAAGGGACGGAGGACAAUCUGAAGAAGUGGCCACAGAUCAUUUGCAUUUACUUCCGUGGGCACAGACAGUGAAGCUAUGAACAAACUUAGAAGCUCGUAUCAGAACCUUCACAGAAACUAAGUCGGUCUCUGUUAAAGGACGUGGGACACGACCUCAUGUAUCUGAAACCAGACGCAGAGACGAGUCAGAGCCUUAAAGUCCCACAUCACAGGGUUUUAGUUUCACACAAACAGCUGCUGCUCAUGUGGUGCAGGAGCAGAGAGAUCAGCAAAACCAUGGACGGCGACAGACGGCAAACCAUGGCUGCUGCAACAAAUCGAGUUUUCCUCCGUCAGCUUUUGGUCGAUGAAAUGAAAUGAACAGACGAACAGUGUUUUUGGGGUCUCUUCUCUUCUGGCCUCCUCGUCUGUAGGAAGGCGAUGGAAACUGGAGCGAUUCCUUUCUGGUCUUAUAUUAGCAACUGGCUAACGGCUACUUCUGCUACCGAACCGGACGUCGCACUCACACUGAGUCACGGCCCAGAAAUAAGUGGCUCGGUCGUUAGGGUUGAUGCCUCCCAUCGAUGAAAGUCCGGGUUCGUGUCCAGUCUUUCUGGGUGGAGUUUGCAUGUUCUCCCUGUGUUCGCGUGGGUUCUCCGGCUUCGUUAGGCUGAUUGGUGAAAAUGAUCCUAGGAUUAAUCCAGGUCUGAAUGUUUUAUAAGGAACAAACUGAAGCUGCUGAUUCACUUCAUUCCUCCCGAACACGUUAGAGAAGCUCAUUAAUACUGUAAUAAUACUGUGAUAAUACGGUGAUAAUACUGUAAUAAUACUGUAAUAAUACUGUGAUAAUACUGUAAUGAUACUGUGAUAAUACUGUGAUAAUACUGUAAUGAUACUGUA
Molecule: long non-coding RNA, 1404 nt
Organism: Mugil cephalus (flathead mullet)
Lineage: Eukaryota; Metazoa; Chordata; Actinopteri; Mugiliformes; Mugilidae
Exons: 3
Source: RefSeq, a predicted model, not a curated record